Molecule: ribosomal RNA, 460 nt
Filed under: uncultured bacterium
Lineage: Bacteria
Description: partial 16S ribosomal RNA
Rfam family: Bacterial small subunit ribosomal RNA
Source: RNAcentral
CCUACGGGAGGCAGCAGUGAGGAAUAUUGGUCAAUGGGCUUACGCCUGAACCAGCCAAGUCGCGUGAGGGAAGACUGCCCUAUGGUUUGUAAACCUCUUUUGUCAGGGAGCAACGCCGGCUACGUGUAGCCGGACAGCGAGUACCUGAUGAAAAAGCAUAGGCUAACUCGGUGCCGGCAGCCGGGGUAAUACGGAGGAUGCGAGCGUUAUCCGGAUUGAUUGGGUGUAAGGGGUGCGUAGGCGGAAUGUAAAGUCACAGGGAAAAAUUCGGGGCUCAACCACGUCGUGCCGUUGAAACUGAUGUUCUUGAGUGGGCGAGAAGUAUGCGGAAUGCGUGGUGUAGCGGUGAAAUGCGUAGAUAUCACGCAGAACACCAGUUGCGAAGGCAGCAUACCGGCGCCCAACUGACGCUGAAACACGAAAGCGUGGGUAUCGAACAGGAUUAGAUACCCUUGUAGUC